This 751-nucleotide ribosomal RNA is filed under the name uncultured Lactobacillaceae bacterium. Its description in RNAcentral is "bacterial SSU rRNA". It matches the Rfam family "Bacterial small subunit ribosomal RNA", at positions 62 to 780 of the family's 1533-position model. The record is from RNAcentral. Lineage: Bacteria; Bacillati; Bacillota; Bacilli; Lactobacillales; Lactobacillaceae.
UCCGUUAAUUGAUCAGGACGUGCUUGCACUGAAUGAGAUUUUAACACGAAGUGAGUGGCGGACGGGUGAGUAACACGUGGGUAACCUGCCCAGAAGCAGGGGAUAACACCUGGAAACAGAUGCUAAUACCGUAUAACAGAGAAAACCGCCUGGUUUUCUUUUAAAAGAUGGCUCUGCUAUCACUUCUGGAUGGACCCGCGGCGCAUUAGCUAGUUGGUGAGGUAACGGCUCACCAAGGCGAUGAUGCGUAGCCGACCUGAGAGGGUAAUCGGCCACAUUGGGACUGAGACACGGCCCAGACUCCUACGGGAGGCAGCAGUAGGGAAUCUUCCACAAUGGACGCAAGUCUGAUGGAGCAACGCCGCGUGAGUGAAGAAGGGUUUCGGCUCGUAAAGCUCUGUUGUUAAAGAAGAACAUGGGUGAGAGUAACUGUUCACCCAGUGACGGUAUUUAACCAGAAAGCCACGGCUAACUACGUGCCAGCAGCCGCGGUAAUACGUAGGUGGCAAGCGUUAUCCGGAUUUAUUGGGCGUAAAGCGAGCGCAGGCGGUCUUUUAAGUCUAAUGUGAAAGCCUUCGGCUCAACCGAAGAAGUGCAUUGGAAACUGGGAGACUUGAGUGCAGAAGAGGACAGUGGAACUCCAUGUGUAGCGGUGAAAUGCGUAGAUAUAUGGAAGAACACCAGUGGCGAAGGCGGCUGUCUGGUCUGUAACUGACGCUGAGGCUCGAAGCAUGGGUAGCGAACAGGAUUA